RNAcentral lists this ribosomal RNA (544 nucleotides) under uncultured bacterium. Its description in RNAcentral is "partial 16S ribosomal RNA". It matches the Rfam family "Bacterial small subunit ribosomal RNA", at positions 355 to 888 of the family's 1533-position model. The record is from RNAcentral.
UGGGGAAUUUUGGACAAUGGGCGAAAGCCUGAUCCAGCAAUGCCGCGUGUGUGAAGAAGGCCUUCGGGUUGUAAAGCACUUUUGUCCGGAAAGAAAUUUCUCUGGGUUAAUACCUCGGGGGGAUGACGGUACCGGAAGAAUAAGCACCGGCUAACUACGUGCCAGCAGCCGCGGUAAUACGUAGGGUGCAAGCGUUAAUCGGAAUUACUGGGCGUAAAGCGUGCGCAGGCGGUUUUGUAAGACGGAUGUGAAAUCCCCGGGGCUUAACCUGGGAACUGCAUUCGUGACUGCAAGGCUAGAGUAUGGCAGAGGGGGGUAGAAUUCCACGUGUAGCAGUGAAAUGCGUAGAGAUGUGGAGGAAUACCGAUGGCGAAGGCAGCCCCCUGGGCCAAUACUGACGCUCAUGCACGAAAGCGUGGGGGAGCAAACAGGAUUAGGAUACCCUGGUAGUCCACGCCCUAAACGAUGUCAACUAGUUGUUGGGGAUUCAUUUCCUUAGUAACGUAGCUAACGCGUGAAGUUGACCGCCUGGGGAGUACGGUCG